GACGAACGCUGGCGGCGUGCUUAACACAUGCAAGUCGAGCGGUAAGGCCCUUUCGGGGGUACACGAGCGGCGAACGGGUGAGUAACACGUGGGUGACCUGCCCUCAGCUCUGGGAUAAGCCUGGGAAACUGGGUCUAAUACCGGAUAUGACUCCAUGACGCAUGUUGUGGGGUGGAAAGCCUUGUGCGGCUGAGGAUGGGCCCGCGGCCUAUCAGCUUGUUGGGGGGUGAUGGCCUACCAAGGCGACGACGGGUAGCCGGCCUGAGAGGGCGACCGGCCACACUGGGACUGAGACACGGCCCAGACUCCUACGGGAGGCAGCAGUGGGGAAUCUUGCGCAAUGGGCGAAAGCCUGACGCAGCGACGCCGCGUGAGGGAUGACGGCU
RNAcentral lists this ribosomal RNA (386 nucleotides) under uncultured bacterium. Its description in RNAcentral is "bacterial SSU rRNA". It matches the Rfam family "Bacterial small subunit ribosomal RNA", at positions 28 to 416 of the family's 1533-position model. The record is from RNAcentral.